UAGGGAAUAUUGCUCAAUGGGCGAAAGCCUGAAGCAGCAACGCCGCGUGUGUGAUGAAGGCCUUCGGGUCGUAAAGCACUUUUCUGGGAGAUGAGAAAGGACAGUAUCCCAGGAAUAAGUCUCGGCUAACUACGUGCCAGCAGCCGCGGUAAAACGUAGGAGGCGAGCGUUAUCCGGAUUCACUGGGCGUAAAGCGCGUGCAGGUGGCGCGGUAAGUUGGGCGUGAAAUCUCCCGGCUCAACUGGGAGAGGUCGUCCAAUACUACCGUGCUUGAGAGCAGAAGAGGAAGAUGGAAUUCCCGGUGUAGUGGUGAAAUGCGUAGAUAUCGGGAGGAACACCAGUGGCGAAAGGCGAUCUUCUGGUCUGUUUCUGACACUCAGACGCGACAGCUAGGGUAGUAAACGGGAUUAGAGACCCCGGUAAUCCUAGCCGUAAAACGAUGUGAACUUGGCGUUGGUGGGUUAAAACUCCAUCAGUGCCGUAGC
This 485-nucleotide ribosomal RNA is filed under the name uncultured Chloroflexota bacterium. RNAcentral describes it as "bacterial SSU rRNA". It matches the Rfam family "Bacterial small subunit ribosomal RNA", at positions 355 to 852 of the family's 1533-position model. The record is from RNAcentral. Lineage: Bacteria; Bacillati; Chloroflexota.